Molecule: long non-coding RNA, 394 nt
Filed under: Nicotiana benthamiana
Lineage: Eukaryota; Viridiplantae; Streptophyta; Magnoliopsida; Solanales; Solanaceae
Description: long non-coding RNA (NBEN_LNC012073)
Source: RNAcentral
UUUCUCUGUACUCCUCUUGCUGCAUAACAGCAGUGAGUAGUCUAUAAGGCCUGUUCAGUCUUGUUUUAACAACUUCAGUGUUCAGCGUUAUGGGUGUAUGAUCUGAGCAUCCUAGUAGCAUAUAAACUGCUUCCACUCCAGUGUAGGUAUUGAACCAUUCAGGGUUGCCAAAAGCCCAGUCAAUGUGAGUGUAUAUACUUUUUUCACUGUCUCUUUUGUUGCUCCAGGAGUAUCUGUUCCCUCUCUUGGUAAUCUGUCCUACUCCUAUAUCAUCAAUGCAGUUUUGGAAAUCAGUCAUUUCUGAGUGGUGUACUGGUUGUCCAUUGAUUCUGUCUUCCACUCCUAGCACACUGUUGAAAUCACCUAAUAUGAGCCAUAGACCAUUGUAGUUGAC